UGGGGAAUCUUGCGCAAUGGGCGAAAGCCUGACGCAGCAACGCCGCGUGCGGGAAGAAGGCCUUCGGGUUGUAAACCGCUGUCAGGAGGGACGAAGCCACUCGGGUGAAUAGCCCAGAGGGUGACGGUACCUCCAAAGGAAGCCCCGGCUAACUACGUGCCAGCAGCCGCGGUAAUACGUAGGGGGCAAGCGUUGUCCGGAAUUAUUGGGCGUAAAGAGCGUGUAGGCGGCUAGUCAAGUCCGGUGUGAAAUCUCGGGGCUCAACCCCGAAACUGCAUUGGAAACUGGCUUGCUAGAGUCCGGAAGAGGAGAUUGGAAUUCCUGGUGUAGCGGUGAAAUGCGCAGAUAUCAGGAAGAACACCCGUGGCGAAGGCGGAUCUCUGGGACGGUACUGACGCUGAGACGCGAAAGCGUGGGGAGCAAACA
This 426-nucleotide ribosomal RNA is filed under the name uncultured prokaryote. RNAcentral describes it as "bacterial SSU rRNA". It matches the Rfam family "Bacterial small subunit ribosomal RNA", at positions 355 to 774 of the family's 1533-position model. The record is from RNAcentral.